This 791-nucleotide ribosomal RNA is filed under the name uncultured bacterium. Its description in RNAcentral is "bacterial SSU rRNA". It matches the Rfam family "Bacterial small subunit ribosomal RNA", at positions 49 to 828 of the family's 1533-position model. The record is from RNAcentral.
CUACACAUGCAGUCGAACGGACCGAUCCCGUUGCAGCGGACUGAGGAUUCGUCUGACGUCCAAAGCGUGGGAUAGGUUAGUGGCGCACGGGUGAGUAACACGUAGGUGACCUGCCCCGAAGAGGGGGAUAACUGCUGGAAACGGCAGCUAAUACCCCAUGUGGUCGGCGAUUCGUUUCGCUGAUUAAAGCUUCGGCGCUUCGGGAGGGGCCUGCGGCCGAUUAGCUAGUUGGUGGGGUAAUGGCUCACCAAGGCGAUAAUCGGUAGCUGGUCUGAGAGGACGAUCAGCCACACUGGCACUGACACACGGGCCAGACUCCUACGGGAGGCAGCAGUGAGGAAUAUUGCGCAAUGGGCGAAAGCCUGACGCAGCAACGCCGCGUGGGCGAUGAAGGCCUUCGGGUUGUAAAGCCCUUUUCUGGGGGAAGAGGAAGGACGGUACCCCAGGAAUAAGUCUCGGCUAACUACGUGCCAGCAGCCGCGGUAAAACGUAGGAGGCAAGCGUUAUCCGGAUUUACUGGGCGUAAAGCGCGCGCAGGCGGUUCCGUAAGUUGGACGUGAAAUCUUUCGGCUCAACCGGGAGGGGUCGUCCAAUACUGCAGGACUUGAGGUCGGGAGAGGGAAGUGGAAUUCCCGGAGUAGUGGUGGAAUGCGUAGAUAUCGGGAGGAACACCAGUGGCGAAGGCGGCUUCCUGGCCCGUACCUGACGCUAAGGCGCGAAAGCGUGGGGAGCGAACGGGAUUAGAUACCCCGGUAGUCCACGCCGUAAACGAUGGGUACUAGGUGUUGGUG